CGACAUUAAUCCAAUAAAAGCGCGGCGCUCACGUGAGGCCGGUGCCCAGGGCGGGAUGCGCGCGCAGAGGUGAUGUCUGAGGACUAAUUUACAACAGCGAGUAAAACGAGUCAACUUGACAGCAUUAUUCAUGAGAGAUCUGACCUCCGAUUGGUGGAAUGACCUGGUCAAGCAGUUUCAUACUGGUGCGUUUCCAGAUCUUCUUAAUAAUUGCACGCAGCUCUUCAUUUGCCUGCUCAAAAUUACCUGAUGAAUGAACAAUCAGAGAAUUCAGGGCAACACGAUGGGGACAGAACUUUCCGAACCCCAGCGGUGGCUGGAUUCUCCUCAGCAGCGUCACGACGUCCAGGUGUUUAAUGCGGCCUCUGCCAGAACAACACAAAAAUAGCACCGAUAAUCAGAUGUAUGUCAUUAAAAAUCCAACCUGCAAUCAAAACGGGCCACUUUAACUAAUGGCAAUGUUUCAUUUGUGCAUGUGCCGCCUUUUUGGAUGAUGUCACCCAUCCCUUUGUUUUCAACCACUUCAUAGAGACACUUCUCACCAUCCAUUCAAUUCCUGAUGGAUAAAAUAAAGUACCACCCUACAUUUGUUUUUUCAUUGAAUAUCCUGUUGAAAAGCAUCUGAUCACAAAAGUAAAAUGUGAAGCGAAUGCCAUUUCACCUCAAUAUUAAAGUCGGCAUUAAACG
Long non-coding RNA from Megalobrama amblycephala (Wuchang bream), 687 nucleotides. RefSeq lists it as uncharacterized. NCBI's taxonomy places the organism in Eukaryota, Metazoa, Chordata, Actinopteri, Cypriniformes, Xenocyprididae. The record is from RefSeq and is a predicted model, not a curated record. The transcript has 3 exons.